Long non-coding RNA from Beta vulgaris subsp. vulgaris (sugar beet), 1427 nucleotides. RefSeq lists it as uncharacterized. NCBI's taxonomy places the organism in Eukaryota, Viridiplantae, Streptophyta, Magnoliopsida, Caryophyllales, Amaranthaceae. The transcript is spliced from 3 exons. The record is from RefSeq and is a predicted model, not a curated record.
GUUGCUAACAAAUUCUGAUGGGAGUAAACCCAAGAAGAGGGGGCCAUCCAGAUCAUUCUAGGGGAGAUACAUCCAAACUUUCAUUAUACCAGCCUAGUAGACUUAUAAGAGGAACCUCACUCCAAAUUUCACACUCUAACUCACACAAAAACUUUCCACCCAACAGAUCCUCUCUUCUUUCUCGCCACACUUACGCUGGAACCAGCGACCAGCACAUGUGCGUAUUGGGUGGCCAAGAAUCUCGAGAAAAACAAAGGGAAGCUUGGAGAAUUUGAGGAGGAAAGAUACACUAAGGGGACAAGAUAGGAAGCUAAGGAUAAAAUUGUUGAAGGAACUUAAGGAAAUUAAGCUAAGGAAGUAAGGUACAUAAGAACUGAUCCUAUAAAAGCUAUUUGGUUUUUCUUUUUUAAAUUAUGCUAUUUAUGAAUUGUGUGAGUAAAUAAUGAGAUCCUUGUGGAUGAAUGAGUGAUAUGUAAGCUGGAGUAACUAAAUUACAAUUGGGAUGUGGUUGCAUGCAUGUUUAAUCAACAUAGACAUAGUUAAAUGAUGAAGUGAUUUAGAAAUUAUGUUAUGAUCUUUGCAUGUAAAAUGGGUGAUGGUUGCCAUGAUGAAUGAGGAAUGGUAAACUCUAUAUACCUACUGCAUGAAGGUAAUGAGCUCACCUAAUAAGUAAGAGAUUCCUGAUUAAGCUAGGUUAAUAUGCUAUUUUUGGUAUUAGAAAUUACUUUCUUGCAACAAGAACUAUACUCCUGCUUUUUUACACCAUGAUUUCAGAAUGAUUUUUUUCCCUUAAUAACUAAACACUCUCAAUGUAGUAGAUGUAAGUGAGGAAUAUAGUACUCCAUGUUUACUAAUGUUGUAGUAAAAUAAAUGUUAUGACAUCUAGUCGAAAUGAAGCCAAGUAUUAUAGUAAUGAUAUGGGAAGAUACUGCGACAGCAGUGAUGAUCACAUUGUAGUGUGUGUAUGUAAGUGAAUAAUGGGACAUGUCUUGGAUUAAGUCUUGCAAGCAGUACAUAAAUUAUUUUGGGAAGACGUUCCCAUGAGUAUAGAGAGGGAAGAUCACCCACUCUAUUCGUGCCUCUUCCUCGGUUAAUUGUAGGAGUAAAACGUUAGGGAAGAACUAUAUUGAGAAGAACGUUUCCUAAGGUCAUAAUCGAGAGUAUAAAGAGUUCCAAGCCAACUUACACAUUGAGGUAUUAUAAGAUACAUGUAACUAAAUAACGAGUUUUUCUUCCUUUUAUACAAGCAUGAUACUCAAGAACUCCUCCUAUGUAAAUCAAACAUGAGAACUAGAAAAUCGUGUACCAGCUUUGCUGAUUUGGUUGUUAUUGUCAUUCCAAAACUGUCCUCCCGGGCAGUGACGAAAUUGCAAGGCUAGGUGAGGAGGCUGUUGUUUGAAAUAUCUGAAGCGCAUGCCACCGUGUUG